RNAcentral lists this ribosomal RNA (340 nucleotides) under uncultured Anaeroplasmataceae bacterium. RNAcentral's name for it is "bacterial SSU rRNA". It matches the Rfam family "Bacterial small subunit ribosomal RNA", at positions 8 to 339 of the family's 1533-position model. Lineage: Bacteria; Bacillati; Mycoplasmatota; Mollicutes; Anaeroplasmatales; Anaeroplasmataceae. The record is from RNAcentral.
AGAGUUUGUAUCAUGGCUCAGGAUGAACGCUGGCGGCGUGCCUAAUACAUGCAAGUCGAACGGAGUUAAGAGAGCUUGCUUUCUUAACUUAGUGGCGAACGGGUGAGUAACACGUAGGUAACCUGCCCUUUAGCUUGGGAUACCCAGAGGAAACUUUGGCUAAUACCGGAUAACAACAACCGAGGCAUCUCGGAUGCUUGAAAGGCCCUUUCGGGUCACUAAAGGAUGGACCUGCGGCGCAUUAGCUAGUUGGUGAGAUAAUAGCCCACCAAGGCGAGGAUGCGUAGCCGAACUGAGAGGUUGAUCGGCCACAUUGGAACUGAGACACGGUCCAAACUCC